Molecule: small nuclear RNA, 109 nt
Organism: Cercocebus atys (sooty mangabey)
Lineage: Eukaryota; Metazoa; Chordata; Mammalia; Primates; Cercopithecidae
Source: Ensembl
GUGCUUCUUUGGCAGCACAUAUACUAAAACUGGAACAGUACAUAGAAGAUUAUUAACAUGGCCCUUGCACAAGGAUGACAUGCAAAUUCAUGAAACCUUCCAUAUUUUU